GUUGCAGGGUAUAGACCCGAAACCCGGUGAUCUAGCCAUGGGCAGGUUGAAGGUUGGGUAACACUAACUGGAGGACCGAACCGACUAAUGUUGAAAAAUUAGCGGAUGACCUGUGGCUGGGGGUGAAAGGCCAAUCAAACCGGGAGAUAGCUGGUUCUCCCCGAAAGCUAUUUAGGUAGCGCCUCGUGAAUUCAUCUCCGGGGGUAGAGCACUGUUUCGGCUAGGGGGCCAUCCCGGCUUACCAACCCGAUGCAAACUGCGAAUACCGGAGAAUGUUAUCACGGGAGACACACGGCGGGUGCUAACGUCCGUCGUGAAGAGGGAAACAACCCAGACCGCCAGCUAAGGUCCCAAAGUCAUGGUUAAGUGGGAAACGAUGUGGGAAGGCCCAGACAGCCAGGAUGUUGGCUUAGAAGCAGCCAUCAUUUAAAGAAAGCGUAAUAGCUCACUGGUCGAGUCGGCCUGCGCGGAAGAUGUAACGGGGCUAAACCAUGCACCGAAGCUGCGGCAGCGAACGUAUCACCCAAGACAACUUUACGGAGUUGACGAUUGACGGAGCGAAGCGACGUCAAAGCGUUCAUUAAAGUCGAGUUGGCUUAGGGAUACGUUCGUUGGGUAGGGGAGCGUUCUGUAAGCCUGUGAAGGUGUGUCGUGAGGCAUGCUGGAGGUAUCAGAAGUGCGAAUGCUGACAUAAGUAACGAUAAAGCGGGUGAAAAGCCCGCUCGCCGGAAGACCAAGGGUUCCUGUCCAACGUUAAUCGGGGCAGGGUGAGUCGACCCCUAAGGCGAGGCCGAAAGGCGUAGUCGAUGGGAAACGGGUUAAUAUUCCCGUACUUGGUGUUACUGCGAAGGGGGGACGGAGAAGGCUAUGUUGGCCGGGCGACGGUUGUCCCGGUUUAAGCGUGUAGGUGUGUGUUCCAGGUAAAUCCGGUUCACUUUAACACUGAGGCGUGACGACGAGGCACUACGGUGCUGAAGCAACAAAUGCCCUGCUUCCAGGAAAAGCCUCUAAGCAUCAGGUAACAUCAAAUCGUACCCCAAACCGACACAGGUGGUCAGGUAGAGAAUACCAAGGCGCUUGAGAGAACUCGGGUGAAGGAACUAGGCAAAAUGGUGCCGUAACUUCGGGAGAAGGCACGCUGACACGUAGGUGAAGUGAUUUACUCAUGGAGCUGAAGUCAGUCGAAGAUACCAGCUGGCUGCAACUGUUUAUUAAAAACACAGCACUGUGCAAACACGAAAGUGGACGUAUACGGUGUGACGCCUGCCCGGUGCCGGAAGGUUAAUUGAUGGGGUCAGCGCAAGCGAAGCUCCUGAUCGAAGCCCCGGUAAACGGCGGCCGUAACUAUAACGGUCCUAAGGUAGCGAAAUUCCUUGUCGGGUAAGUUCCGACCUGCACGAAUGGCGUAAUGAUGGCCAGGCUGUCUCCACCCGAGACUCAGUGAAAUUGAACUCGCUGUGAAGAUGCAGUGUACCCGCGGCAAGACGGAAAGACCCCGUGAACCUUUACUAUAGCUUGACACUGAACAUUGAGCCUUGAUGUGUAGGAUAGGUGGGAGGCUUUGAAGUGUGGACGCCAGUCUGCAUGGAGCCGACCUUGAAAUACCACCCUUUAAUGUUUGAUGUUCUAACGUGGACCCGUAAUCCGGGUUGCGGACAGUGUCUGGUGGGUAGUUUGACUGGGGCGGUCUCCUCCUAAAGAGUAACGGAGGAGCACGAAGGUUGGCUAAUCCUGGUCGGACAUCAGGAGGUUAGUGCAAUGGCAUAAGCCAGCUUGACUGCGAGCGUGACGGCGCGAGCAGGUGCGAAAGCAGGUCAUAGUGAUCCGGUGGUUCUGAAUGGAAGGGCCAUCGCUCAACGGAUAAAAGGUACUCCGGGGAUAACAGGCUGAUACCGCCCAAGAGUUCAUAUCGACGGCGGUGUUUGGCACCUCGAUGUCGGCUCAUCACAUCCUGGGGCUGAAGUAGGUCCCAAGGGUAUGGCUGUUCGCCAUUUAAAGUGGUACGCGAGCUGGGUUUAGAACGUCGUGAGACAGUUCGGUCCCUAUCUGCCGUGGGCGCUGGAGAACUGAGGGGGGCUGCUCCUAGUACGAGAGGACCGGAGUGGACGCAUCACUGGUGUUCGGGUUGUCAUGCCAAUGGCACUGCCCGGUAGCUAAAUGCGGAAGAGAUAAGUGCUGAAAGCAUCUAAGCACGAAACUUGCCCCGA
Molecule: ribosomal RNA, 2207 nt
Filed under: Salmonella enterica subsp. enterica
Lineage: Bacteria; Pseudomonadati; Pseudomonadota; Gammaproteobacteria; Enterobacterales; Enterobacteriaceae
Also listed under: 1 other name
Description: partial 23S ribosomal RNA
Rfam family: Bacterial large subunit ribosomal RNA
Source: RNAcentral